CCUACGGGGUGCAGCAGUAGGGGAUCUUCGGCAAUGGACGAAAGUCUGACCGAGCAACGCCGCGUGAGUGAAGAAGAUUUUCGGAUCGUAAAACUCUGUUGUUAGAGGAGAACAAGUAGGAGAGUAACUGCUCUUACCUUGACGGUAUCUAACCAGAAAGCCACGGCUGACUACGUGCCAGCAGCCGCGGUAAUACGUAGGUGGCAAGCGUUGUCCGGAUUUAUUGGGCGUAAAGCGAGCGCAGGCAGUCUUUUAAGUCUGAUGUGAAAGCCCUCGGCUCAACCGAGGAAGGUCAUUGGAAACUGGAGGACUUGAGUGCAGAAGAGGAGAGUGGAAUUCCAUGUGUAGCGGUGAAAUGCGUAGAUAUAUGGAGGAACACCAGUGGCGAAGGCGACUCUCAGGUCUGUAACUGACGCUGAGGCUCGAAAGCGUGGGGAGCAAACAGGAUUAGAUACCCCCGUAGUC
RNAcentral lists this ribosomal RNA (465 nucleotides) under uncultured bacterium. Its description in RNAcentral is "bacterial SSU rRNA". It matches the Rfam family "Bacterial small subunit ribosomal RNA", at positions 338 to 795 of the family's 1533-position model. The record is from RNAcentral.